This is a long non-coding RNA of Helicoverpa armigera (cotton bollworm), 397 nucleotides long. RefSeq lists it as uncharacterized. The transcript has 2 exons. The record is from RefSeq and is a predicted model, not a curated record. NCBI's taxonomy places the organism in Eukaryota, Metazoa, Arthropoda, Insecta, Lepidoptera, Noctuidae.
GUCAAAUUAACUGAUGUGUAUGUGUACAUAGAGUGAGGUUAAUUUUGGGUUUAUUAUUGUUGAAUAGAUAAGUUUAUUUUGGCAGAGAAGAGAAAACGAGGAUAAACCUUUCUUGCAGAAGAAAAAGACAAGCUAGUGAAAUUGCUGACGUCUCAUAGAGACACAAUAUUAAACAAAAAACGGAUGGGACCACGAACGAAGCCAAAAACAAAGCUUGGAUCCAGUUACAAAUAGUUUUAAUGCGAUAGGAACCGUUUACAGUUUCAGGUGGUGCGAGAAAUUGGAAAGACGUGUAAAAACAUGCUGCGCCCAGCCCACCUCAAAUUGAAUUGGUGCAGGAGGAUGAUGAUAAUGUUUGGUACAUCAUAUGAGGACUAAUAUUAAAAUAUUUGUUUAC